AGUAGAACUGCUAUGUCAUAUGGUAAAUCUGUUUAAUACUUUAAGAAACUGCCAAACUGUUUUCCAUUUGGGAAACUGUACCAUUAUAUAUUCCCACUAGCAAU
RNAcentral lists this microRNA precursor (104 nucleotides) under Marmota monax (woodchuck). The record is from RNAcentral. Lineage: Eukaryota; Metazoa; Chordata; Mammalia; Rodentia; Sciuridae.